UACGGGGGGUGCAAGCGUUAUCCGGAUUCACUGGGUUUAAAGGGUGCGUAGGUGGGCAGGUAAGUCAGUGGUGAAAUCUCUGGGCUUAACCCGGAAACUGCCGUUGAUACUAUCUGUCUUGAAUAUAGUGGAGGUGAGCGGAAUAUGUCAUGUAGCGGUGAAAUGCUUAGAUAUGACAUAGAACAUCGAUUGCGAAGGCAGCUCGCUACACUAUGAUUGACACUGAGGCACGAAAGCGUGGGGAUCAAACAGG
This 253-nucleotide ribosomal RNA is filed under the name uncultured bacterium. RNAcentral describes it as "partial 16S ribosomal RNA". It matches the Rfam family "Bacterial small subunit ribosomal RNA", at positions 524 to 776 of the family's 1533-position model. The record is from RNAcentral.